Homo sapiens (human) is the source of this 2556-nucleotide RNA transcript. It is a transcript of the gene named lipase family member J, with no coding region annotated. The record is from RefSeq and is marked validated. Lineage: Eukaryota; Metazoa; Chordata; Mammalia; Primates; Hominidae. The transcript has 11 exons.
ACGUGACGAGGCGCGCCACUCGGCGCAUGGGCCGCGCUACACGGCCGCUCAGGGAGCUGAGGGUAUAGCGUUUUCGCCUUAGACUUUCUUGGGUGCAGGCCCACACCACCUCAGCAGCCUGCCCGGCAGUCCUCUUUUCCCAGGUUUUGGCGUUUAGACAACCCACCUGAGUCCUCAGCCUUGUCCCACACAGCAAGGUACAAGGGACCGGACGUCUGCCUCCUCAGCAGCGCAGCGCACAAGCUUCCUGUCAUCCCGGCGCCCACGAUCAGCACCUGCGCCAUGGCGAGAGGGAGCAGCGAUCCGCGCUGAGUCUCUGCGGCGGGGCCGUUCGGCCCGGGCUUUCUGGAAAGGCGGCCGAACCGGCGCUAGCGCUCUUUGGUUCCGUGCUCCCUGGGCCGACCUGGGCCCUGAGCUUUCCUCCGGCCGGCCUGCAGGGGGCGGAAAGGAGGCGGCCGGAGCUGAGAGGCCCCUCCGUCCUUGAGGAGCAAACCUGGGGCUGCGGAGAACCGGGGCUGUCUGUCUUCUCGCUUUGGGGGCCGGGCGCCCUGCCCCUCGCCCAGAAAAGCCUGGAAAUGGUGUGGGCUAUUGUUGGGAGAACCCGCCUCGCAACAGAGCUGACGUUGACCACAGCAGAGAAGCAGCUUAACCUAUCUACUGCGAUAACUCUCAUGCCUGUUGGGAUUUUUGCUGUUUUACUAUUCUAGAUUUGAAAGUGGGAAGAAGAAUUUACCAGCGAUACCACGGGCAACCUUUCCUCUAAUGCUUGAACGGCCACUAUUAGCAUAAUAGAAACAUCUUUUGGAAUCUGGGAGACAUUUUUCUUAGACCUGGGACUUUGUGUAACCUUCCUGAACCUCAAUUUCUCCAUCUGGGAAAUGGAAACAAUAACGUAUACCUUUCAAACUUGUAAAGAUUAAAGACAGUUGAUUCAUCAGAAAAUUCCAAAUUACUCUUCAAUAAGUUCUAUGUCAGAACGCAUUCCGUAUGUUCUAAGGAAUAUAAAGAUGAACAACAAGAGAAGGAUUGGUGCCAUUGCCGUUGUUUUUUUCCCCCUCCUGACAUUGUACUGGAAGUUCUCAAUGAAACAACAAAGGCAAUGUAUAAUAUGCUUUUUCUUAGCUUUCCUAUGACUCUACUUAGCAACUUUUGCUAAAAGAAACACAAUAUAUGACUGACUACUUUGAAGACACAUAUAUUGGACACUUAAAAUCAACAAAAGCAGAGAGGUCCCAAACGUGGUAUCUUUUCACAAUGAUGUAUUUUAUCCGAAUUCUUGGAAUUACUCAUGGUGUCUUUCAAAAUUAAAGAUCUGUGAAACCUGAAGCAGAUAUGAAUAUUAGCCAGAUUAUUUCCUACUGGGGCUACCCUGAUGAAGAAUAUGAUAUUGUAACCGAAGAUGGUUAUAUCCUUGGCCUUUAUAGAAUUCCUUAUUGGAGGACAGACAAUAAUAAAAAUCUAGCUCAGAGGGUUGUUGUAUACUUGCAACAUGGUUUGCUUACAUCUGCCAGCAGCUGGAUUUCCAAUCUUCCCAACAAUAGUCUGGGCUUCAUUCUGGCAGAUGCUGGUUAUGAUGUGUGGAUGGGAAAUAGCAGAGGAAAUACCUGGUCCAGGAAACACUUGUACCUAGAAACGAGUUCCAAAGAAUUCUGGGCUUUCAGGUUGUGCAUAUACUUCUUAAAGUUGUAGAUAAGCUUCUAGACCUGUAAGUAAAACAAAAACUGUGAGACAAACAUAGUACAGCAGAAUGCCCUGGAAUCUUACAUGCUGCUUUGAUCCCCCAUGGAGUCUUCUCUAGUCACAAAGAAUUGAUUGUAAAGACAAGGUUUCAUAACAUUUUCUACUAUAUCAAAGAUAGCUGAAAGAAUCAAAAUAUUUUUUGCUUUAGCACCAGUUUUUUCCACAAAGUACUUAAAAAGUCCUUUAAUUAGAAUGACAUACAAAUGGAAGUCAAUAGUCAUGGCUUUUUCAGGCAACAAAGACUUCUUGCCUAAAACCUCAUUUAAAAAAUUCAUUGGUUCAAAGCUGUGUCCACUACAGAUUUUUGAUAAGAUUUGCCUCAAUAUCUUGUUUAUGAUGUUUGGAUAUGACCCAAAAAACUUAAAUAUGAGUCGUUUGGAUGUGUAUUUUUCACACAACCCAGCAGGAACAUCUGUUCAAAAUAUGCUUCAUUGGAGUCAGCUUUUAAAUUCUACUCAUUUGAAAGCUUAUGACUGGGGCAGUCCUGAUCUGAACUUGGUUCAUUAUAAUCAGACAACGUCUCCAUUAUACAACAUGACAAACAUGAAUGUGGCAACUGCAAUUUGGAAUGGUAAAAGUGACUUGUUGGCUGACCCUGAAGACGUUAACAUUUUACAUUCUGAAAUCACAAACCACAUUUAUUAUAAAACUAUUUCUUACUACAAUCAUAUAGACUCUUUGUUUGGAUUAGAUGUCUAUGAUCAAGUUUACCAUGAAAUCAUUGAUAUUAUCCAAGACAAUCUAUAAAGAACCAUGGCGCUGUGUGUUUAAAGAUCUACAUCAUUCCUAAUGAAAUCCAAUUCUUAUUUUUUUUUA